UGCAGUCGAACGAGACCUUCGGGUCUAGUGGCGCACGGGUGAGUAACGCGUGGAAACCUACCAUUCUGUACGGAAUAACGAUUGGAAACGAUCGCUAAUACCGUAUACGCCCUGUGGGGGAAAGGUCCGCCGCAGAAUGAGGGGUCCGCGUCCGAUUAGCUUGUUGGUGGGGUAAAAGCCUACCAAGGCGAUGAUCGGUAGCUGGUCUGAGAGGAUGAUCAGCCACACUGGGACUGAGACACGGCCCAGACUCCUACGGGAGGCAGCAGUGGGGAAUAUUGGACAAUGGGGGCAACCCUGAUCCAGCAAUGCCGCGUGUGUGAAGAAGGCCUUAGGGUUGUAAAGCACUUUCAAUGGUGAAGAUGAUGACGGUAGCCGUAAAAGAAGCCCCGGGCUAACUUCGUGCCAGCAGCCGCGGUAAUACGAAGGGGGCGAGCGUUGUUCGGAAUUACUGGGCGUAAAGGGCGCGCAGGCGGCCAAUCCAGUCAGGUGUGAAAGCCCCGGGCUUAACCUGGGAACUGCACUUGAUACUGAUUGGCUAAAAAACGGAAGA
Molecule: ribosomal RNA, 553 nt
Filed under: uncultured bacterium
Lineage: Bacteria
Description: bacterial SSU rRNA
Rfam family: Bacterial small subunit ribosomal RNA
Source: RNAcentral